RNAcentral lists this unclassified non-coding RNA (246 nucleotides) under Hevea brasiliensis (rubber tree). The record is from RNAcentral. Lineage: Eukaryota; Viridiplantae; Streptophyta; Magnoliopsida; Malpighiales; Euphorbiaceae.
GACAACAUGAGCUAGUACAAGGUCCACUUUCAUAAAAUGAAUUCCCAAAUUCAUCUUUUAAUCUCUUUUGUGUUUUGUUUGUUUGUGUGCUAAUUGAGCACCAACAUGUCACUUGUCUGAAAUUCUGCUCUUCAGUUUUCAGGCCUUGAACCAUGAAGAUAGGCACUUGCUAUUUCUUUACACAAGGUCAUAGUUCAAUGAAAGUCAACUUGUUUAGCUCAUGUCCGAUAUUACUAUGAUGAUGAG